UCAUGUGAGAUUACCCGCUGAAUUUAAGCAUAUUACUUAGCGGAGGAAAAGAAACUAACAAGGAUUCCCUUAGUAGCGGCGAGCGAAACGGGAAAAGUCCAGCACUGAAUCCCUCGUCCAUUGGGCGAUGGGAAAUGUAGUGUUUGGGAGUGUCCGUUAACUCGAAGCUAAACAGCUAGUCCAAGUCCGAUCUUUAAUGGGGCCAUUGCCCAUAGAGGGUGCCAGGCCCGUAGAGGCAGCUGUUGGCUUCGAGCGUGGGCGUCUCCUUAGAGUCGGGUUGCUUGAGAGUGCAGCCCUAAGCCGGUGGUAUACUCCAUCUAAGACUAAAUAUGACCACGAGACCGAUAGCAAACAAGUACCGUGAGGGAAAGUUGAAAAGAACUUUGAAGAGAGAGUUCAAUAGUACGUGAAACCGUUUAGGGGUAAACACGUGAAACUCGAUUCUAGUGCAGGGAGAUUCAGUAUUGGCCGCGGCGGUCGUGCCGGAUGUUUGGUGAGUCGGUUGUGCAAACUCUGGUUUCGGCUAGGGCGCGUGCACCAUUGCCCGUUCGGUAUUGUGCCGUUGCAUGUGCCAGUACGCACUUCUCCCUGCGUAUACUACGUCGCGACCGGUUGGUAUUAUGGGUGAUUGAAUUCACCUCGUGGGGACCUACGGCCCGUGUCGCAGCCUGGUUCGGUCUUAGCGUUCUUGUAAUGCGGACCGGCCAGAGGCAUGGUGUUUCCCGGAUCCCUCACCGACCGUAGCAAAUGAAGGUGGUAGCCCGCGCUACGUGCGCGUCCAUAGUCGCUUUCGGUCUUAAUGCGGUCGUGUUUGCCGGUCACCGAACGGGCUUGUCCCUUCGGCCUGUGCCACGUCGUGUUUGUAGGACCGAUCGAGUCAACAUUUGGACCGUGGCUUUACUUACACCAGUCAUGCGACGCUUUUGUAUCGGGCAGAUUACGUGACCCGUCUUGUAACACGGACCAAGGAGUCUGACAUGUGUGCGAGUCAACGGGCUAGUAAACCCGUAAGGCGCAAGGAAGCUGACUGGCGGGAUCCCCUCGAGGGUUGCACCGCCGACCGACCUUGAUCUUCUGAGAAGGGUUCGAGUGAGAGCAUACCUGUCGGGACCCGAAAGAUGGUGAACUAUGCUUGGGAAAGGCGAAGCCAGGGGAAACUCUGGUGGAGGCUUGUAGAGGUACUGACGUGCAAAUCGUUCUUCUGACCUGAGUAUAGGGGCGAAAGACUUAUCGAACCAUCUAGUAGCUGGUUCCCUCCGAAAUUUCCCUUAGG
Molecule: ribosomal RNA, 1273 nt
Filed under: Aurantiochytrium limacinum
Lineage: Eukaryota; Bigyra; Thraustochytrida; Thraustochytriidae
Description: partial Eukaryotic large subunit ribosomal RNA
Rfam family: Eukaryotic large subunit ribosomal RNA
Source: RNAcentral